AACUGAAAAAGACAGUACAUGUAAGAAGUUCUGAAAAAAACUCACUGAAGAUUUCUCAUAAUACUGUAGCAGAUUUGAUGAUUUGAGCUUUGAUAAAACCAAUCUUCAAAUGUCAUUUCAGGUAAGAAAAUAACAAAAUCUCAUGCUAACUGCAAAGAGGCUCAGACACAGCACUGUGCCAGCGAUUGAGAAGAGGUUCUGCACCAGCCUUUACUUCUGUGACAAUGUUAGUAAUGUUUCUCCUGUGCUCAACAAGGAAAAUGGUCACUAAUGUGCACAGUUGGAACUCACACUCUGGUUCCAAAGAAACAUUUACUGCUGGACUGCAUGUCACAGAAAGCUGCUGUUUUCUUGCUGUGCAAGAAAAUCAAAGCACAAGGAUGACACAGGGUUUACACUCAGCUACAGGGACCAUUACCUCCAUUCUCAUGAUGAUCCUGUUGUUCCUGGUUGCAAUGCUCAUCACAUGUUGAAAUCUUAGAUCUCGAGCUUGAAGACCCAACUCCUGUGUCAUCUGCAUGACCAUGCUCCUACCCAAACCUUGUUAAGGUGAUUUACAGAGGAUCCGACUUAGAACAGACUAUUUCUGUUGGAAGAGACCUAAAAUGAUCAGUCCAUCUGCUUCACCAGUUCAGGGCUGACCAGAAGUUAAAGCCUGAUAUUAAGGAUGCUGUCCAAAUGCCUCAAAUGCUGACAGGCUUGGGAUAUUGACCACCUCUCCAGGAAGCCUGCUCCAGAGUCUGACCACCCUCUUGGUAAAGAAUUGCUUCCUAAUGUCCAGUCUAAACCUCCCCUGGCACAGCUUUGAGCUAUUUCCAUGCAUCUUAUCACUGGAUCUCACAGAGAGGAGAACAGCAAGGCAUCUUACAUCUGGGAUUGAAAAUUCAGCUAUUUGCUCUGUAACACUCGGAAAAAUUUACAAAUAAAACUUAAAAAGUAAAGAUUA
Molecule: long non-coding RNA, 946 nt
Organism: Passer domesticus (house sparrow)
Lineage: Eukaryota; Metazoa; Chordata; Aves; Passeriformes; Passeridae
Exons: 2
Source: RefSeq, a predicted model, not a curated record